Molecule: ribosomal RNA, 497 nt
Filed under: uncultured bacterium
Lineage: Bacteria
Description: partial 16S ribosomal RNA
Rfam family: Bacterial small subunit ribosomal RNA
Source: RNAcentral
GAUGAACGCUGGCGGCGUGCCUAAUACAUGCAAGUCGAGCGAACGGACGAGAAGCUUGCUUCUCUGAUGUUAGCGGCGGACGGGUGAGUAACACGUGGAUAACCUACCUAUAAGACUGGGAUAACUUCGGGAAACCGGAGCUAAUACCGGAUAAUAUUUUGAACCGCAUGGUUCAAAAGUGAAAGACGGUCUUGCUGUCACUUAUAGAUGGAUCCGCGCUGCAUUAGCUAGUUGGUAAGGUAACGGCUUACCAAGGCAACGAUGCAUAGCCGACCUGAGAGGGUGAUCGGCCACACUGGAACUGAGACACGGUCCAGACUCCUACGGGAGGCAGCAGUAGGGACGCUUCCGCAAUGGGCGAAAGCCUGACGGAUCAACGCCGCGUGAGUGAUGAAGGUCUUCGGAUCGUAAAACUCUGUUAUUAGGGAAGAACAUAUGUGUAAGUAACUGUGCACAUCUUGACGGUACCUAAUCAGAAAGCCACGGCUAACUACGUG